GAUGAACGCUAGCGACAGGCCUAACACAUGCAAGUCGAGGGGCAGCACAUGAGUAGCAAUACGAUGGUGGCGACCGGCGCACGGGUGAGUAACACGUAUGCAACCUACCUGUAAGAGGGGAAUAACCCGGAGAAAUUCGGACUAACACCGCAUAAUACCUCGAAGCUGCAUGGCUUUGAGGUUAAAUAUUUAUAGCUUACAGAUGGGCAUGCGUAACAUUAGAUAGUUGGUGAGGUAACGGCUCACCAAGUCAACGAUGUUUAGGGGUUCUGAGAGGAAGGUCCCCCACACUGGUACUGAGACACGGACCAGACUCCUACGGGAGGCAGCAGUGAGGAAUAUUGGUCAAUGGGCGAGAGCCUGAACCAGCCAAGUCGCGUGAAGGAAGAAGGUUCUAUGGAUUGUAAACUUCUUUUGUAUAGGGAUAAACCUUUCCACGUGUGGAAAGCUGAAGGUACUAUACGAAUAAGCACCGGCUAACUCCGUGCCAGCAGCCGC
RNAcentral lists this ribosomal RNA (498 nucleotides) under uncultured bacterium. RNAcentral's name for it is "bacterial SSU rRNA". It matches the Rfam family "Bacterial small subunit ribosomal RNA", at positions 28 to 518 of the family's 1533-position model. The record is from RNAcentral.